UUCUGUCCCUGUUGUGUCCCCCAUUGUUUGUCACGUCCCGUCCUGUGUCACGGGUGUGUGCACAUAUCUGUGCCGGAGCCGCUCUGCCCUGCUGCGUAGCCUGGUGCGAUAGGACCAGUCCCGGGGACUUGAACUUUGUAACGUGGUGUGUAGUUGGACUCUAGAUGGUAUUCCUAGAUUGACACAAGCUGUUUGGAGCUGUAAAGUUAUCCUGCAGCCCUUUGACUUUUGCCUUAACUUUCCUUCAGGUGCAGAAGGAUUCCCCUGAUCAGGAAGUUAUGCCAGAGAGCAGCAGUCAAGUUGAGGAGGGCAAGGUGGUCCACUUGCAACUUCUCCCGGCCAAGGAUGCCCGAUGCCAGGUGCUGUCACUGCCCUAGGUGUGCCAAGGAACAGAGGCAAGCGGGU
Long non-coding RNA from Motacilla alba alba, 405 nucleotides. RefSeq lists it as uncharacterized. Lineage: Eukaryota; Metazoa; Chordata; Aves; Passeriformes; Motacillidae. The record is from RefSeq and is a predicted model, not a curated record. The transcript is spliced from 4 exons.